Molecule: ribosomal RNA, 362 nt
Filed under: uncultured Methylobacter sp.
Lineage: Bacteria; Pseudomonadati; Pseudomonadota; Gammaproteobacteria; Methylococcales; Methylococcaceae
Description: bacterial SSU rRNA
Rfam family: Bacterial small subunit ribosomal RNA
Source: RNAcentral
GAAUAUUGGACAAUGGGCGCAAGCCUGAUCCAGCAAUACCGCGUGUGUGAAGAAGGCCUGAGGGUUGUAAAGCACUUUCAAUUGGGAGGAAAACCUGCCGGCCAAUACCCGGCAGCUUGACAUUACCUUUAGAAGAAGCACCGGCUAACUCCGUGCCAGCAGCCGCGGUAAUACGGAGGGUGCAAGCGUUAAUCGGAAUUACUGGGCGUAAAGCGUGCGUAGGCGGUUAUUUAAGUCAGAUGUGAAAGCCCCGGGCUUAACCUGGGAACUGCAUUUGGUACUGGGUAACUAGAGUUUAAUAGAGGAGAGUGGAAUUUCAGGUGUAGCSGUGAAAGUGCGUAGAGAUCGGAAGGAACACCAGU